CCGAGCCGAGAAGAGGCGGGGCUUGAGGGGAGCGGGGAAAACGUUUGGGAACGUUCCGGUAAGAGUUCCUGGCUGGAACCACUGACUUCCUGGCGAUCCCCAACAGGUUCCACAGCAGAUUGGGGAGAGGUCCUCAGCUCCAUGGCCCCUCUCACAGCCACAGUCUGCUCUCUGGAAUUUGCAAAGGAGGCCUGAGGGCUCCAUGGACUCCUGGAUUUCAGCAAGGCCUCUAAGCUCUGUGUGUUCCUGAUGCAUGUACCUCCGUAAAAUGGACUUAAGAGGAAGGAGCCCAGAGAGCUCAGUCUUCUUGCUGAAGAGAGAAGCAAGUUGAAAAGAGAAGAAAUGAAUAGCUCCUCCACCUCUUCUCUGAGGAAGUUGCCUGCAAUCAAUCCUGCUAGAAUGAGCAGCAGCUACAAAUGGGUCUGCUUUCUUGAAUUCACUGGCUGUACCCACAGUCCACGCUGCAGUAGUUGAAGCAAUCUUCCUUUCAAGAUAUUGAUUUCCUAUGGAAUUGUCAUUUGAAAUGAUGGAUCUGCAGUUGGGUUGGGACCUGGAGGAAAGAUAGUUGUGUUUGUGUUGCAGGCAUGAAUCUUGACAGGCUUUGUCCUCCACACAAAGGACAAAAGGAAAGGAAAGAAAUUAUUAGAGUUGGGAGAAAGAUUAAGGAAAAUACCUUAAUCAUCUUCCAGUUUUACAGGCUAAUUUCUAAUACUUAGGACAAAGUUAUUUAUGAGUCCAUCAUUUCACAGUAGUUGAAGUUAUUUUAUUGUUCCUAAAGCCAAAGCAGUAAGGCUUAAUGGUUAUUUACUUUUCAACAGAAAUGCAGACACUUUUACUUUUUGGCUAGAGUAUUCAUUGGUAGUAAUUUUCUAUUUCUCAGAGGAAGUCUGAAGAUUUUUAGGUCACAGUGAUAACAGUCCUUUCUUCAUAGGUCAUAUUUCCUGGAGCCCUGCAGCCUUCUGUUUAGGAAGGGCCUGAUAUCUGAUUGUUUCUUUCCAUCCUAAGAUAUUGGACCUUACUCUCUUCUUUCCACCCUUCCUUCUGUUACCUUCUUUUAUGUAAUGUACGUUUCAUAUAACAUGGAUCUCUUUUCUCUCUAAUAUGGCAUUACUUUCUUCCUGCCACACUUUGACGCAAGUUAUUUCAUCCUUCUCUCAUAAUCUGUUUUUCCUUUAUGCUUUAUUUUUUACUUUAGAAACAACCCAGCCUCAUUGGUUUGGGGUUCACUAUUCAGGCUGAUUAUUUGCUUGACAUAAAUCCCUUUCCUAUUAUUCUAGA
Long non-coding RNA from Pteropus alecto (black flying fox), 1278 nucleotides. RefSeq lists it as uncharacterized. The transcript is spliced from 3 exons. The record is from RefSeq and is a predicted model, not a curated record. NCBI's taxonomy places the organism in Eukaryota, Metazoa, Chordata, Mammalia, Chiroptera, Pteropodidae.